GAUGAACGCUAGCGAUAGGCUUAACACAUGCAAGUCGAGGGGCAGCAUGAUCUUAGCUUGCUAAGGUCGAUGGCGACCGGCGCACGGGUGCGUAACGCGUAUGCAACUUGCCUUACAGAGGGGGAUAACCCGUUGAAAGACGGACUAAAACCGCAUACACUUGUAUUAUUGCAUGAUAUUACAAGGAAAUAUUUAUAGCUGUAAGAUAGGCAUGCGUCCCAUUAGCUGGUUGGUGAGGUAACGGCUCACCAAGGCGACGAUGGGUAGGGGAACUGAGAGGUUUAUCCCCCACACUGGUACUGAGACACGGACCAGACUCCUACGGGAGGCAGCAGUGAGGAAUAUUGGUCAAUGGGCGAGAGCCUGAACCAGCCAAGUAGCGUGCAGGAAGACGGCCCUAUGGGUUGUAAACUGCUUUUAUGCGGGGAUAAAGUGAGGGACGUGUCCUUCAUUGCAGGUACCGCAUGAAUAAGGACCGGCUAAUUCCGUGCCAGCAGCCGCGGUAAUACGGAAGGUCCGGGCGUUAUCCGGAUUUAUUGGGUUUAAAGGGAGCGUAGGCCGUGGAUUAAGCGUGUUGUGAAAUGCAGGUGCUCAACGUCUGCACUGCAGCGCGAACUGGUCCACUAGAGUGUGCGCAACGCAGGCGGAAUUCGUCGUGUAGCGGUGAAAUGCUUAGAUAUGACGAAGAACUCCGAUUGCGAAGGCAGCUUGCGGGAGCACAACUGACGCUGAAGCUCGAAAGUGCGGGUAUCGAACAGG
RNAcentral lists this ribosomal RNA (759 nucleotides) under uncultured Filifactor sp. RNAcentral describes it as "bacterial SSU rRNA". It matches the Rfam family "Bacterial small subunit ribosomal RNA", at positions 28 to 776 of the family's 1533-position model. The record is from RNAcentral. Lineage: Bacteria; Bacillati; Bacillota; Clostridia; Peptostreptococcales; Filifactoraceae.